RNAcentral lists this non-coding RNA (84 nucleotides) under Candidatus Omnitrophota. Its description in RNAcentral is "Candidatus Omnitrophica c-di-GMP sequence". It matches the Rfam family "c-di-GMP-I riboswitch aptamer". From Rfam's summary of the family: GEMM was predicted in a large-scale screen for bacterial structured RNA regulatory elements. Genes associated with GEMM are involved in a diverse array of functions, including chemotaxis regulation, signal transduction, secretion and chitin. Lineage: Bacteria; Pseudomonadati. The record is from RNAcentral.
AAGCGAUAAAGGCAAACUCGCGGAGGACGCGGGGGCGCAAAGCCGUGCGUUCCGACGUAAUGUCGGGAUAGGCAGGUUGCCGAA